This 450-nucleotide long non-coding RNA is filed under the name Pelobates cultripes (western spadefoot toad). The record is from RNAcentral. Lineage: Eukaryota; Metazoa; Chordata; Amphibia; Anura; Pelobatidae.
CUUAUUAACAAACAAAAAUCAUAUUUACAGUAUGGAUCCUUUGCAACAAACACACAGGGCAGGGAAGAUGUGCUGAUUGGUAUUCUAUACAAUUAAUCCCAUAUGGGUGUUGUGGAAAUAAGGUCUACACAUAUUUCCUAGUUAGUGAAAAAUGUCUAUUUACUCAUUUCACGAUAUAUAUCAAUAUAGCUAAGCACACAUAUUAUAAUUAAGAUGGCUGCUGGAAGCUUCUAGCUCCUUCCCCCCCCCCUUCCCUUCCUCCCUCCUAACAUCGACUAACUACCUCGUGUACCAAGAUGGCGCCGGUAAACCGUGGGAGACCCUCAUGGCCCCGGUGACAUCACCUGCAGUAGGCAGAGCAUUGAAGCAACCACUUAACACCUAACCAAUUAUUGAUGUAUUAUUCCAUGUUAUCUCUGACAAUGCUUAUGAUGUAAUUUUGCUUUAAAA